GACGAACGCUGGCGGCGUGCUUAACACAUGCAAGUCGAACGGAAAGGCCCUGCUUUUGUGGGGUGCUCGAGUGGCGAACGGGUGAGUAACACGUGAGUAACCUGCCCUUGACUUUGGGAUAACUUCAGGAAACUGGGGCUAAUACCGGAUAGGAGCUCCUGCUGCAUGGUGGGGGUUGGAAAGUUUCGGCGGUUGGGGAUGGACUCGCGGCUUAUCAGCUUGUUGGAGGGGUAGUGGCUUACCAAGGCUUUGACGGGUAGCCGGGCUGAGAGGGUGACCGGCCACAUUGGGACUGAGAUACGGCCCAGACUCCUACGGGAGGCAGCAGUGGGGAAUAUUGCACAAUGGGCGGAAGCCUGAUGCAGCAACGCCGCGUGCGGGAUGACGGCCUUCGGGUUGUAAUCCGCUUUCGCCUGUGACGAAGCGUGAGUGACGGUAAUGGGUAAAGAAGCACCGGCUAACUCCGUG
RNAcentral lists this ribosomal RNA (468 nucleotides) under uncultured bacterium. RNAcentral's name for it is "partial 16S ribosomal RNA". It matches the Rfam family "Bacterial small subunit ribosomal RNA", at positions 28 to 507 of the family's 1533-position model. The record is from RNAcentral.